Small RNA from Staphylococcus aureus subsp. aureus NCTC 8325, 303 nucleotides. It matches the Rfam family "5' ureB small RNA". Lineage: Bacteria; Bacillati; Bacillota; Bacilli; Caryophanales; Staphylococcaceae. The record is from Rfam.
CUAAUGCGACCUCUGCUUGUUCAGGAUUAAUAAAAUGAACAUGAGUAUCAAUACCACCAGCAGUGACGAUUUUACCUUCAGCGGCAAUGAUAUCUGUUGUUGAACCUAUAAUAAUGUCGACAUUAUCCAUUAUAUCUGGGUUGCCGGCAUUACCUAUGGCGAAAAUAUAACCAUUUUUAAUGCCUAUAUCAGCUUUAACCACUUUAUCGUAAUCGAUAAUAACGGCAUUAGAAAUGACAAGGUCUGCAACGUUCACGUCAUCACGUGUUACACGAGGAUUUUGCGCCAUACCGUCUCUAAUAG